Carassius gibelio (silver crucian carp) is the source of this 1537-nucleotide long non-coding RNA. RefSeq lists it as uncharacterized. Lineage: Eukaryota; Metazoa; Chordata; Actinopteri; Cypriniformes; Cyprinidae. The record is from RefSeq and is a predicted model, not a curated record. The transcript has 5 exons.
AUGUCUAUUGUCUCGAGAUACCUGUCGGCUGUUCUGAGCACAUGCUUCCAGGGAAUCCAGGCAUGAAAUGCUGAGAGAACAUAGAGCACACAAACCACAUUUUGGAUAACAUUUUACCCACACAAAUGAAAUUAGUGAAGGAGAGUCGCGUGUCGCCUGGAUGAACGCUGUUCUGCUCCUGAACACAACAACAACCCUUAAAGAAUUACCAGGGUACCAUAGGUAUGCACUACAGCUUCUGUCUGCUGGCCACACAUCCCUUUGAGUGCUCCAUCAUCAUAAUCAAUGGCAGGUUGAGCCGGCUGGGGUUUGAAGACCUUUACACAAACACUGUUCGUUUUACUUCUCCACGGCCAUGGAGCUCAGAAGAAAGGCUGCCAUCCUGUUGCCCUGUUCAAGCACUGGUGCAGAGUUGAGGUUGUCUGUGAUAAUCUUAUCGAGCUAUGAUGGCGAGCGGACAGGGACAAAAGAGGCAGAGGCACGAUGAAGACACAACACGGCCUCCGGUCGCCUCCUCAGCGCUGACUGUGAUAAAUGAGUCUGGAAAAAUGUGCAGCUUCACAGCAAACGCACUCACGGCUGCAACUUGAGGAGGACUUCAGCUAUUUUUAGAGAGCUUUUCUCCACUCUUUCUCUUACUCUUCUCGCACUUCUCUAGAGUGUUUAUCACCAGGUGAGGAAGCAGGUUCGGUCGCAGACAGUCGCUCAGCUAACCUGGGAAAAAGCUCUCUUUCACACACUGAACAUAAACUAAUUUUGGGCUCACUUGAGAGAAUUGUUUCCUUCGUUAGGGAAGCUAAAGUGUGGUGUUCAUCUCCCUCUGAUUGCACUUUGGAGGUGCUUGAGGGGCCCAGACUCCCAUUAGCCUGAUGAGCUUACUCUGCUAACACAGCUUUAUGGGACAAAUUGCAUACAUAUGUGGGUGGCUGGAUUCAUAUAUUGGACUUCAAUGGUAUUACAGGAAAGAAAAUCAGUGUACAGUAUUCUUAGAAGAGGAAAUGAGUUCUGAGCUGACUUGUUCUUUCUUAUCUUUGAGCAAUAGAUGUUAAAGAAGGUAGGAUUGAUUUACAGUAGCUUCCCUUCAAGCUUAUGAAACCACAAUCAAAUAAAGGAAUAUUGUAUGUUCAACACAAGCUCAAUUGACAGCGCUUGUGGCAUAAUACUGAUUGCCACAAAAACACUCUCCAAAAAUCUGGAUGACCGUGAGGCACUUUCAGUGGAAGUGAAUGGGUCCAAUCCAUAAAUGUCAAUAGUGUAGCCACAAAAUGUUAAGAAUAUUCCUGUAAACAUGAUUUUAAUGUGAAUAAAUAACUUACUAACCUUAUUAUUUAUGUGCAAAGUUAUAUACAAUUUAUAAAACCUUGUUGCCAACACAACAUAAAACCUCAUAUUAAGGAUGACUGUAAGGAUGUGUGAUAUUUCUCUGGUUAAUUACACUGUCAAAACUGUUGAUUGAUCUAAACUUGUAUUAAACCUGUAAUAUCCCUUUAUAUAUAUCCUUAUAUAACAAAUACAUUAAAAGAAUAAGCAGAAAUCA